Molecule: ribosomal RNA, 2533 nt
Filed under: Longidorus hangzhouensis
Lineage: Eukaryota; Metazoa; Nematoda; Enoplea; Dorylaimida; Longidoridae
Description: SSU rRNA
Rfam family: Eukaryotic small subunit ribosomal RNA (bases 1-1783)
Source: RNAcentral
GCUUGUCUCAAAGAUUAAGCCAUGCAUGUCUAAGCACAUGCCUUAAUACGGUGAAGCCGCGAAUAGCUCAUUACAACAGCCAUCGUUUACUAGAAAAUCGUUGUCCUACUUGGAUAACUGUGGCAAUUCUAGAGCUAAUACAUGCGAACAAAUCUCUUUCCUUCGCGGAUCGAGAGCAUUUAUUAGAAUAAAAACCAAUCGAGCCGUCAAAAGCUCUUUGGUGAAUCUGAAUAACUUUGCCGAUCGCACGGUCCUGGUACCGGCGACGUAUCUUUCAAGUGUCUGCCUUAUCAACUUUCGAUGGUAGGUUAUACGCCUACCAUGGUAGUAACGGGUAACGGAGAAUAAGGGUUCGACUCCGGAGAGGGAGCCUGAGAAACGGCUACCACAUCCAAGGAAGGCAGCAGGCGCGCAAAUUACCCACUUCCAGAACGGAGAGGUAGUGACGAAAAAUAACGAGACAGUCCUCUUCGAGGUCUGUCAUCGGAAUGGGUACAAUUUAAAUCCUUUAACGAGGAUCUAUUGGAGGGCAAGUCUGGUGCCAGCAGCCGCGGUAAUUCCAGCUCCAAUAGCGUAUAUUGAAGUUGUUGCGGUUAAAACGCUCGUAGUUGGAUCUGCGGCCUGAGAGAAUGGUCCCCCGAAAGGGUGGUAACUGUUACUCUUAGCCUAAAUUUUUAGUCUACUCUAUGGUGCCUUUAAACGGGUGCUUAGAGUGACUAGAACGUUUACUUUGAAAAAAUUAGAGUGCUCAAAGCAGGCGAAUUCGCCUGAAUAAGGUGCAUGGAAUAAUGGAAUAGGACCUCGGUUCUAUUUUGUUGGUUUUCGGAGCCUGAGGUAAUGAUUAAGAGGAACAGACGGGGGCAUUCGUAUUCCGGCGCUAGAGGUGAAAUUCUUGGACCGCCGGAAGACGGACGACUGCGGAAGCAUUUGCCAAGAAUGUUUUCAUUAAUCAAGAACGAAAGUUAGAGGUUCGAAGGCGAUCAGAUACCGCCCUAGUUCUAACCGUAAACGAUGACAACCAGCGAUUAGUCGGCGUUAAUAUAUGACCCGACUAGCAGCUUCCGGGAAACCAAAGUUUUUCGUUUCCGGGGGAAGUAUGGUUGCAAAGCUGAAACUUAAAGGAAUUGACGGAAGGGCACCACCAGGAGUGGAGCCUGCGGCUUAAUUUGACUCAACACGGGAAAACUCACCCGGCCCGGACACCGUAAGGAUUGACAGACUGAGAGCUCUUUCUUAAUUCGGUGGGUGGUGGUGCAUGGCCGUUCUUAGUUGGUGGAGCGAUUCGUCUGGUUAAUUCCGAUAACGAACGAGACUCUGGCCUAUUAAAUAGCCGGUAUAUAUCGAAAGUUUACCGCGCUUCUUAGAGGGACAAGUGGCGUCUAGUCACAUGAAAUAGAGCAAUAACAGGUCUGUGAUGCCCUUAGAUGUCCGGGGCUGCACGCGCGCUACACUGAAAGAAUCAGUAUGCGCACGUCGCCUAGUUCGGAAGAACCGGGUAACCCUAGCAAAUUCUUUCGUGCUUGGGAUAGGGAAUUGCAAUUAUUUCCCUUGAACGAGGAAUUCCCAGUAAAUGCGGGUCAUAAGCUCGCGUUGAUUACGUCCCUGCCCUUUGUACACACCGCCCGUCGCUACUACCGAUUGGAGGACUUAGUGAGGUCUUAGGACUGAAGUUGAGGAGCUUUAACCGGUUCCUUUUCUUCGGAAAUUUGAUCGAACUACGUUAUCUAGAGGAAGUAAAAGUCGUAACAAGGUUUCCGUAGGUGAACCUGCGGAAGGAUCAUCAACGAGCUGAAAAUAAAAUAAACUGACGAUAUGAGGGCUAGUUUUCGUUUGACGGUGGAAUGUAAACCGGAAAACUCUCUCACUCUCUCUCUCUCUCUCUACCGCUAGUCGUUGUCUUAACCGCGAUCGUCUUUUCGGUGAAGACUCAUCAUCAUCAUCAUCAUCAUCGAUGAUGAAAGAGAGGGAGAAAGGCGAAAAUGGGCUAGAAGGCGCCUUUUAAAAAAAUGCCUGAUCGCAGACGUUUCGAGGAAUGAAGCGGGUCGACCGUUUACGAGUGGAAAGCGUGCGCGAAUGUAAAUAUAACUAGCCUGUGUUAGUUUUUUUUUAUAUUCACGCUUUUCACAUUUACUCGCUAGCUCCUCUUUCGGGUACCUAACGAAUACUAACGAUACAGUGAUCCGUCUGGCUGUACAGAAUCGCGUUAGAUUCGGAAUCCUUAUCGAUUUUGAUCGACAACGACGGUUCGUUCGUUCGAUCGAUCGAUCGAUCGAUCGAUCGAUAAGGCUAGGUUUAAAGAGUCGCCGCCGCCGCCGCGUGAUGACGAUCUGACCAACCGAACGUAUAUUGAUUGGUCCGAUCGAUGGUCGUCUUAGCGCGUGAUCGGCGUCCGCCCGGAAAACCUAAAAAUAUAUACUUUGAUAUAAUACAUAUAUAUAAAGGAGACUGGAGUACGAAUGACGAUGUACGAGAGAGUCCUCUAAUAAAAAGAUUCAGAGAGAUUCCAUUCUAAGCGGUGGAUCACUCGGCUCGU